CAGCAGCCACGGGAACACGUAGGGCGCAAGCGUUGUCCGGAAUUAUUGGGCGUAAAGAGCUCGUAGGCGGUCUGUCGCGUCUGGUGUGAAAUCCCGAGGCUCAACCUCGGGCUUGCAUCGGGUACGGGCAGACUAGAGUGCGGUAGGGGAGACUGGAAUUCCUGGUGUAGCGGUGGAAUGCGCAGAUAUCAGGAGGAACACCGAUGGCGAAGGCAGGUCUCUGGGCCGCAACUGACGCUGAGGAGCGAAAGCAUGGGGAGCGAACAGGAUUAGAUACCCCCGUAGUCCCUGUCUCUUAUAC
This 301-nucleotide ribosomal RNA is filed under the name uncultured bacterium. RNAcentral describes it as "partial 16S ribosomal RNA". It matches the Rfam family "Bacterial small subunit ribosomal RNA", at positions 509 to 807 of the family's 1533-position model. The record is from RNAcentral.